This 46-nucleotide non-coding RNA is filed under the name Schistosoma margrebowiei. Lineage: Eukaryota; Metazoa; Platyhelminthes; Trematoda; Strigeidida; Schistosomatidae. The record is from RNAcentral.
GCGCUGCUGAAGAGUCCCACAUUAGGGCGAAACGGCCGUCCAGUGU